GGUCACUGCUAUCGGUGUUCGUCUAAGCCAUGCGAGUCAUAUGUUCUUCGGAACAUGGCGUACUGCUCAGUAACACGUGGAUAACCUGCCCUUGGGUCUGGCAUAACUCCGGGAAACUGGGGAUAAUACCGGAUAACGCAUAUCUGCUGGAAUUCUUUAUGCGUGAAAUGGAUUCGUCUGCCCAAGGAUGGGUCUGCGGCCUAUCAGGUAGUAGUGGGUGUAAUGUACCUACUAGCCGACGACGGGUACGGGUUGUGAGAGCAAGAGCCCGGAGAUGGAUUCUGAGACAUGAAUCCAGGCCCUACGGGGCGCAGCAGGCGCGAAAACUUUACAAUGCGGGAAACCGUGAUAAGGGGACACCGAGUGCCAGCAUUAUAUGUUGGCUGUCCGGGUGUGUAAAAUACACCUGUUAGCAAGGGCCGGGCAAGACCGGUGCCAGCCGCCGCGGUAACACCGGCGGCCCGAGUGGUGAUCGUGUUUAUUGGGUCUAAAGGGUCCGUAGCCGGUUUGGUCAGUCCUCCGGGAAAUCUGACGGCUUAACCGUUAGGCUUUCGGGGGAUACUGCCAGACUUGGAACCGGGAGAGGUAAGAGGUACUACAGGGGUAGGAGUGAAAUCUUGUAAUCCCUGUGGGACCACCUGUGGCGAAGGCGUCUUACCAGAACGGGUUCGACGGUGAGGGACGAAAGCUGGGGGCACGAACCGGAUUAGAUACCCGGGUAGUCCCAGCCGUAAACGAUGCUCGCUAGGUGUCAGGCAUGGCGCGACCGUGUCUGGUGCCGCAGGGAAGCCGUGAAGCGAGCCACCUGGGAAGUACGGCCGCAAGGCUGAAACUUAA
RNAcentral lists this ribosomal RNA (837 nucleotides) under uncultured archaeon. RNAcentral's name for it is "bacterial SSU rRNA". It matches the Rfam family "Archaeal small subunit ribosomal RNA", at positions 21 to 859 of the family's 1478-position model. The record is from RNAcentral.